UUUGUCGCCCCUCUUUUCUUUUCCUUUUUCUUCUUUGCGCACCUCCUGUCCUCUUGCUCAAUCUCUGGUCUACUAUGGUUAUUCGUCAAUCUUUAUCAUCAGCUCCUUCCCCUCCUCCUUCUCCUUCUCCUUCACUCCCUUAACUCAAAACCAUCACCCUCACAGUCAAAACCAGCCACCAAGCAAGGGUCACUCUCUGCCUUUCUAUGGUAGCUCUCCUUCAUUACUGAGAGUGGGUACUUCCUCAUCUCAACAUUCCAUAAUGUGGUAGAGGUGGACUAGAAGAUGAGGCGUCGAUUUGCAACAGGUGCUGAUUAAGAGAAGAUGAAUCUUGCAAAGAAGUCUACACAUUACAUUGCAUGUUCCCUUUGUGAGUUUUAAAUUAAGAUUCUUAGGUUUUCUUUUUUUUCUUAUGUCUGAGCCUCCAUAUCUUCAAACUACUGAUGAAAUUAGUGAUGAGAUUUGGUAGUGAUUUGCAGUAAUUACUAAUGACAUUUUGUAGUUAUUGUGAUUUAUGUGUUUGUUGAUGAGAUUGACUUAAUAUUAACAUCCAAACUUUGAUUUUAAGCGUUAAAGUUUUGAUCUUAAAUUGAGAAUUACAUGAAGAAAAAUGUUGAACCUUUCCCUUCUACUCUUAUAUUUGAAAACUGCUUCUAAAUUGAACUGAACCGUAUGUUAAAAUCAAUUUUGAUUUGAUUGUGUAUAAUAAAAAAUUUAAUUUUACCGAUCCUAUUCAAUUUUAAACCGAGCUGACUAAAUGCUCAUCUGUAUUACCCACCUUACCCGAGAAAUCUUCCUCAAUUAUUGUAGGUCAAAGAAAGUACACUGUCUUGCCUUAAUAUAAUAUGCUCAUAAUCCAACAAAAAAAUUGAAAGGCUUCCACCUGGCCCCUCAUUCCUAUCUUGAAACCCUUUAUCUCAUCAGUCGACACAUGUCCUUGCUCUAGACUUACCACAAUUUUUUUUUUCGCCGAAAGACUAGCACAACAUCGAUCCGCUGUUUUCCUAGAAAAAAAAAUAUGGCAAAGUGGCUGUCUUUCCACAUUGACGCCAUGUGCUGGUUCUUGUACGCCGCCAAUUCUUCCACUUGCCUGCAAAAUGUUCCUGAUAGGCUUGCGUUGUUAUUAUUCAAACAAGCUAUAGAACGAGACCCAUUUCAAGCCUUGAGUUCUUGGAAUGAUUCGCUGCACUACUGCGAUUGGCAGGGUGUUUCAUGUAGUCGUUGACAUCCUGGCAGAGUCAUAGCUUUGAUCCUCACUUCAGAAGGUUUGGUGGGAUCUCUAUCGCCUCACAUAGGAAACCUUUCCUUUCUUAGGGUCCUCAACUUCCAAAACAAUACCUUCUAAGGCGAAAUCCCACAGGAAUUGGUCGUCUUCAACGCGUUCGAUAUCUCAUACUCGCCAACAAUUCAUUUGGUGGAAAUAUACCAGCAAACUUGUCUCGUUGCUCCAACCUUGUGUGUCUUGAUCUCAUCGACAACAAGCUUAUCGGAAGUAUUCCUGCUGAGUUGGGCUCUUUACCAAAACUUGGUGCUCUGGCUUGGCGGCAAAUAAUCUGACAGGAAGUAUUCCUCCCUCUAUAGGGAAUCUCUCAUCUCUCUACGGACAAAUAGCUUGCAGGGACAGAUUCCUGAAGAACUUUCGCGACUUGGGAAGCUAAUAGAUGUGUUGUUAUAAGAAAACAAUCUAACCGGUGAGAUUCCUCCCGGUCUCUAUAACAUCUCCAAUAUUGAGAUAUUUAGCAUGUUCCUCAAUCAAUUACAUGGAAGAAUCCCCUCUGAUAUAGGCCUCACUCUUCCAAAUUUGUCUUCCUUUGCACUUGCAUAUAACAAGUUUACUGGGUCAAUACCUGUUACGCGAUCGAAUGCUUCUGUUCUUCAAAAAAUUGUUCUAUUCUCAAAUUAUUUUACUGGUUCAAUUCCAAAAAAUCUUGGAAUGCUGCCCAAUCUUCACGAUGUGACACUUGCGGUCAAUCAGCUUCAGGAUGACUUAAGUUUCAUUGAUUCUCUAACUAAUUGUUCCAGUUUACAACAAAUCAAUAUUGCAAGGAAUUUUCUCAAUGGAUCUAUUCCCAAAUCCAUAGCCAAUCUCUCAAAAAAAAAAUGUGGAUCCUGGGUCUGUCAGAAAAUCAGUUGCAAGGUACCAUUCCCCUGGGUCUUGAAAACCUUGGCAAUUUGAGAUUCUUGCAGCUUGGUUGGAAUUUUCUCUCUGGCCCUAUUCUUACUGAUUUCGGGAAAUUUCAACAAUUGCAAUAUAUGACUUUGUCUUACAACAACUUCGGUGGAACUAUCCCAUCUUCACUUGCUAAUUUAACAUUCCUUAGUGUUCUUUACAUGAGAUUCAACAAUUUCCAUGGAGCCAUAACUUCAAGUCUUGGAAGUGUUAGUGGCUUGAUUGAGUUGGAUCUCCGUGAUAAUAGUCUCAAUGGUUCAAUACCCGCAGAAGUUAUCGGCCUUUCUUCUCUUUCUUUCGCACUUGUUUUAUCUCACAAUCAAUUCACUGAUCCUGUUCCAUCAUAAGUUGGCUCACUGCAAAACAUUCUCUUGUUGGAUUUAUCUGACAACAGACUAUCUGGCACAAUUCCAAGCUCCAUUGGAAAGUGUUUGAAUCUAGAAGGUCUUUACCCUGGGGGUAAUUUAUUUGAAAGAGGGAUACCUCAGGCUUUUAGUUCUUUGCAGGGUUUAAGAGAGCUGGAUAUUUCGCGCAAUAAUCUUUCUCGGAAAAUUCCAGAUUCUAAAGCUGCGCUUGAUGGGUUGAAUCUGUUGAAUUUUUCUUUUAAUAGGCUUGAGGGAGAAGUUCCAAAACAUGGAAUCUUCUUGAAUUCAAGUGCAUUUUCACUGUUGGGAAACAAUUAUCUCUGUGGAGGUAUCGCAGAUUUGAAGCUUCCUCCUUGCCCCUUCCCGAAAUCCAACAAGGAAAAAUUCUCCUCUGCGCUAAAAGCAUCAAUAUCGGCGGUUGGUGCUGCAUUAUUUAUACUGUUGUUGGGGGGUUCGUUAUUUUUCUGGCACAGGAAAAGAAUGUCUAGAAAGAAAGGAAUUUCCAUGCCAUCAUUUAAUCUCCCAUUUUUGAGAAUAUCCUAUGCAGAACUUUUCAAAGCUACGGAUGGAUUCUCAACGUCCAAUAUAAUUGGUACUGGUAGCUAUAGUUCUGUCUACAAAGGAAUUCUUGAACCAACAGGAACAGAAAUAGCAGUGAAAGUGCUAAAACGUGCAUUGGAGAGGAGCAUCACACAGUUUCAUGUCCGAAUGCAAAGCUCUAAGAAUCAUCAGACACAGAAAUCUCAUGAAGCUACUGAGUUCCUGUUCUAGCAUUGAUUUUCUAGGGAAUGAUUUCAGAGCUCUUAUUUAUGAAUUCAUGCCUAAUGGGAGCUUGGAUAAAUUGUUGCAGCCUGGCAAUACAGGGGAAGGUGGGCAACAAAUAGUUCCAGGAAAUCUGAAAUGGAUGCAGAGGCUGGACAUUGCUAUUGAUAUUGCUUCUGCAAUAGAGUAUCUUCAUAAUGGUUGUCCAUCCACAAUCAUCAAUGGCGAUCUCAAGCCGAGUAAUGUUCUUCUAGAUAAUGAGAUGAUAGCCUGUGUUGAAGAUUUCGGAUUGGCGAAGAUCGUCUCUGCAGUUUCUUGUGGGGCUGAUCAGUAUCCAAGUAGCACUUCCCUGGCAAUCAAGGGAACUACCGGCUAUGUUGCUCCAGAGCACGGCAUGGGUGACAUGGUUUCCAUAGAAGCAGACGUAUAUAGCUAUGGAAUUCUGUUGUUAGAGGUGUUUACUGGGAAAAAACCAACGGAUGAUUCUCUUAAAGAUGGACUAAAUCUUCAUGCUUUUGUUGAGAGUGUUGGAGUUAAUGAGAUUUAGUAGGAAAAACUUUAUGUGCACAAGUAAAGAAAUGAGUCAUACCUAAGUAUGGUGCAAGCAUGGCAUUAGUUGAGAAAAUAAAAUAAUAUUUCCCUAUAAAAAGGAAAUGUUGCUGUUGGAAAA
RNAcentral lists this unclassified non-coding RNA (3967 nucleotides) under Hevea brasiliensis (rubber tree). The record is from RNAcentral. Lineage: Eukaryota; Viridiplantae; Streptophyta; Magnoliopsida; Malpighiales; Euphorbiaceae.